Molecule: transfer RNA, 67 nt
Filed under: Alloxysta sp. ZJUH_2016001
Lineage: Eukaryota; Metazoa; Arthropoda; Insecta; Hymenoptera; Figitidae
Description: tRNA-Asp
Source: RNAcentral
AAAAAAUUAGUUAAUUAAUAACAUUAAUAUGUCAUAUUAAAAUAAUUAAAUAAAUUAAUAUUUUUUU